RNAcentral lists this ribosomal RNA (497 nucleotides) under uncultured bacterium. Its description in RNAcentral is "partial 16S ribosomal RNA". It matches the Rfam family "Bacterial small subunit ribosomal RNA", at positions 28 to 507 of the family's 1533-position model. The record is from RNAcentral.
GACGAACGCUGGCGGCGUGCCUAAUACAUGCAAGUAGAACGCUGAAGAGAGGAGCUUACUCUUCUUGGAUGAGUUGCGAACGGGUGAGUAACGCGUAGGUAACCUGCCUUGUAGCGGGGGAUAACUAUUGGAAACGAUAGCUAAUACCGCAUAACAAUGGAUGACACAUGUCAUUUAUUUGAAAGGGGCAAUUGCUCCACUACAAGAUGGACCUGCGUUGUAUUAGCUAGUAGGUGAGGUAAUGGCUCACCUAGGCGACGAUACAUAGCCGACCUGAGAGGGUGAUCGGCCCAACUGGGACUGAGACCAGGCCCAGACUCCUACGGGAGGCAGCAGUAGGGAAUCUUCGGCAAUGGGGGCAACCCUGACCGAGCAACGCCGCGUGAGUGAAGAAGGUUUUCGGAUCGUAAAGCUCUGUUGUAAGUCAAGAACGGGUGUGAGAGUGGAAAGUUCACACUGUGACGGUAGCUUACCAGAAAGGGACGGCUAACUACGUG